Long non-coding RNA from Heterocephalus glaber (naked mole-rat), 510 nucleotides. NCBI's taxonomy places the organism in Eukaryota, Metazoa, Chordata, Mammalia, Rodentia, Bathyergidae. The record is from Ensembl.
CCAGAUUCUAAUCAAAGAGACUGAUAUGUCCUGAAUGUGUUCUUCAAAAUUUAAAUGUUAAAAAACUGAUCCCUGGUGCCGUCGUGUUGGGAGCUGGGCCCUUGGGAGGUAGUUAGGUCAGGAGGGCUCUGCCUCACAGAUGGAUUAAUGCCAUUAUUGAAAAGGGCAGAAGAAGUGGGUUUGCUCUCUUCUUACUCUUGUUCCAUGAAGACACAGCAUUUGACCUCCCUUUUUGCCCAUACACGUGCCACAAUCUGAGGACACAGCAAGAGUCGCAGACACUCAAUCUACCACCACCAUGAUCCAGAUCUUCCCAGCCACCAGAACAGUAAGAAGUCUUCAACCAAAGACUCAUCAAUAACUGUUCCAGCCCAGAGUCAUCUCCUGUGCUAUGAAUUAUGCCCCUGAUACAGUGGAGCCCCUUAGUCUUAUCAUCUCUUUUGUGCUACUGUAACAUGACACCUGGGACUGGUUGAUCCUACAUUUCUUGGUGUCUAAUUUGUAAGGCCU